CAAGCGCGAAAGCCAGUGGCUGCUCCCGCUGCGUGCUCGGCACGUCUGAGCUUCUCAGUGCUUCUUAGUGCAGCUUGUAUAUUCCAGCUAGCAAACAGAUGCAUGUAAUAGGAGAGAAGGGUCCAAAAAUAGUCUGACAAAUUUCUGAAAGUAGUGUUGGGGCACUGGAACAGAAUCCUCACUGCAGUGGUCGUGGCAUGAAGCCUGCUGGAGUUCAAGAAGCAUUUAGACAAAUGUUUCAGAAAUAUGGCUUGAAUUUUGGAUGGUCCUAAAAUCUAGCUGAACUAGAUCAUUGGAUCUUUCUGGGUCCCUUCCAACACAAGAUAUUCUAUGGUUCUAUGAUUUUUCCCAUUGUAUGAAUAAUUACACUUGAGUACAGCAGAGUUAAGUAACUCUUUGGAAAAUAAUCUGUUAUAGGUCAGUACUGAAUUCUGAGAAA
This is a long non-coding RNA of Gallus gallus (chicken), 439 nucleotides long. Lineage: Eukaryota; Metazoa; Chordata; Aves; Galliformes; Phasianidae. The record is from Ensembl.